CCUACGGGAGGCAGCAGUAGGGAAUAUUGCUCAAUGGGGGAAACCCUGAAGCAGCAACGCCGCGUGGAGGAUGAAGGUUUUCGGAUUGUAAACUCCUGUUGUUAGAGAAGAUAAUCACGUUAUCUAACGAAUAAGCACCGGCUAACGCCGUGCCAGCAGCCGCGGUAAUACGGAGGGUGCAAGCGUUAGUCGGAAGCACUGGGCGGAAAGAGCGCGUAGGCGGGAUAGCAAGUCAGAUGUGAAAUCCUAUGGCUUAACCAUAGAACUGCAUUUGAAACUGUUAUUCUAGAGUAUGGGAGAGGUAGGUGGAAUUCUUGGUGUAGGGGUAAAAUCCGUAGAGAUCAAGAGGAAUACUCAUUGCGAAGGCGACCUGCUAGAACAUAACUGACGCUGAUGCGCGAAAGCGUGGGGAGCAAACAGGAUUAGAUACCCUAGUAGUC
RNAcentral lists this ribosomal RNA (440 nucleotides) under uncultured bacterium. RNAcentral describes it as "partial 16S ribosomal RNA". It matches the Rfam family "Bacterial small subunit ribosomal RNA", at positions 338 to 795 of the family's 1533-position model. The record is from RNAcentral.